CAUAGAUAUAGGAGAUCUAGAUUGCUAACGCAUACCUAGCGCAGGCCGGGCCUACAUGAUAAAUCCAAGAUGGCGGUACAACAGGAUUUUUGCAUUUUUUGCCGUCGCAUUGUUUUGAAACUAAUUCGGUCAAAUUUUAUGGCAAAGAGAAACUUACCGCGAAGAUUUUGAGCAUAUAUAUGAUUGAAUUGGAUGAAAAAUCGCAAAAUUAUCCAGCGAUAAAAGUUCGUGUGAAAUGGUCAGUUGGUCAGUUGGAGCGUUUUAUUGCCAGAAAUACUGUGCUAUGUUAACAUCUAGCCUUGUGAAUGGUGUUUUAUACUUGCAUCUCUCAUCAUCAUCUUCUCUGUCCUCAUAAUUAUGAAAAAUGAACUGUUAUGUACCCCCCCCCCCUCCCCCUCCUUGCUUGUUAGAGAAGUAAACUAAUGAGAGCACUGGAUGAGGGUCUAUCAUCUAUGGUCUGUUAUAAUUUGCUUUUUAUGCAAAUAGUGAGCAAAAAUUAAAGCAAAACUGUACAAGUUACAUAUAUAGUACUAUAUCAGUACUAUACACGAACUUUUAUCGAUGGAUAAUUUUGCGAGUUUUCAUCCAAUUCAAUCAUAUAUAU
This 604-nucleotide long non-coding RNA is filed under the name Paramuricea clavata. The record is from RNAcentral. Lineage: Eukaryota; Metazoa; Cnidaria; Anthozoa; Malacalcyonacea; Plexauridae.